AGAACGGUCUCUGACUGUGGAGGCCGUUACUCAGGGCCCAUCAUGAAACUUUGGAAUUCUGAAAAAUGGAAAGCGGAUAAGGGUUUAAAAACCACUUGCUGGGUUACAUGGAGGCAGAAUCGUGGAAUUGUUUUCUCGGAUGGACCCACAUGCGACUGGAUUCAUCUUUUUUUUUUUUUUUUGCAGUUACAAACUAAACUUCAUUUUAUUUUAUUUUAAUUUUUUAAGUUUUUUUUUAUUUUUUCCAUUAUAACUGGUUUACAGUGUUCUGUCAAUUUUCUACGCGCAGCAAGGUGACCCGGUCACACAUACAUAUAUAGAUUCUUUUUUCUCCCAUUAUGAUGCUCCAUCAUAAGUGGCCAGAUGGACUCAUCUUCUUAAAUGAAAAGAGCAUCUGAGAAAACAGCAUCAUUAUGCGAGUCGGUCCUUCCUUUUAACAACCGCAUGGAGCGUAAACCACUGUGUUCCUUCCAGCUCUGAAAAUGGAAUUCCAGCUUUCAAAACAGCCAAGGGAGUUAUUUACGUAAUGAACUAAAAACAAAUAAAAAACCCAGCAAGCACCAGGACUCUUCUUAAGGACCCACCUUCCUUGAAGGGCUCUUAUGAGAAUCAGAUGCUCAAAGAACGCAGGGGAAUGCCAGGGUGGCUACACUCACGACAUAUGGAACCUCCUGGGCUAGGAGUCGAAUCGGAGCUGCAGCUGCUGGCCUACACCACAGCUCACGGCAAUGCCAGAUCCUUAACCCACUGAGCAAGGCCAGGGACCAAACCCACAUCCUCAUGGUAACUAGUUUGGUUCAUAACUUGCUGAGCCACAACGAGAACUCCAUUUUUUUUUUUUUUUUUGGACAUGUGCAUUUUAAAUCUUGAUUUUAACUGCUAAAUUGUCUUCUAGAAAAGUUGCACCAAUUUAUAGUUUUGUUAACAGUGAUGGGGUGAAUUUCCUACUCAAGUCUCUUUUAAAAAAUUUCGGUUAGUGUGUUUAUUUUUUCUUUUUAAACUUUUAUGAUUCACACCCUUCCUCAAAAGGUUUUGACACAUCUUAUUUUUAUGAAAGAUUUGAAAAAAUAAGAAUAGACCAAAGUAACAUAAAGAAAGCAAAGUACAAAGCAAGAAAAACACACACACAGCAUACAUUACAUGGUUACCAUAAGCUCAGACCCAUCCAUUUAGAUCUGACCUUCCCGAAGGACAAAGAGGAAAUGAAAAAGCUCUGAAACUUUCCCUUCGACGAGAGGGCUCGCUGUCUCUUCCAAAAAAGACAAAAUUAUUUGGUUAAUAUUUAAAGGAACUUCUGAGAAAUUGUAGAAAGGUUUGCGAAAGCAUUGCUGAAAAUAUCUUCAGACAAGACUAUUAGACCCCUGGUAGUUAUUACAGUCAAAUAAUUCUAUAGUUUGAUACAUGAAGACAAUUACCGAGAGUCCAUUGCGCCCUGGCCUUGGGGAUUUUAUAGACUACUUGAAUAUAACAAGCAAUAUAAGUAAAGUGUACUGGUAAAAAUAAAACCACCAACUUCUAAUUUUCUCAUCUACAGAGAGUAAUAAGAAAAAAUCAAACGGUAAUAAUUUAUUAUAAUAAUUUCAUUAAUGAAAACAUUUUUUCACUCCACCCCCAUAAAAAGCCUACUAGAAAAGCACGAUAUUGGCAUAAAAGAUAGUAAUAUCCCAAACCAGCAGUUAUAAUUACACACACAUAUAAAUGGCCUUGUCCCUAGGAUUUUCAUUGAACUAUGAAGUCAUAAAAUCUUUUUCGUUGAGGGGCACCAAUUUACAGACUGGUGUCUGGGAGACUGAGGCCGAGGAACCCUGACUGCAUUGCCCAAGAGUCCCAGCUAAAAAAGAGCAAAGCUGGACGAGAAUUCUAGAUCCCUAAUUUCUGUCCCCAAAGCAAGAAAGAAUCUUCAGACUGGAAGGGAAGAAGCAGAGAAUGAAAAAUAUGAAUUUUGAGGCAUGAGAGCUGGAAAGAUAAGACAAGAUUGGCUUCCAUGCCAACAGAUUCAAUAUUUGGCCUUAGAGAGACUUGGGUGUGGGGAGAGCUGGCGGAUACAGGGGACAGUCACGGCAGAAACACUUGGGAGCCCAAGGAGCUACCAGGAGCCUGGAUGUAGAAACUGGAGUUCAAGGGUACUCAUAUGGCCCAGGAAGCCCUGGGGGUCGGCUCUGUGCUCAGCGCUGGCUCCUGAGCCCCUGUUCCAGGAUGCCACGGCAUCUUCAGGAGGCUGGUGCUUAGCUGUGUGAUGGCUGCAGAAGCCCUAGAGAGAGGCCCUCCUGUGUGCCCUUCUCCGCAGUGUCUCAGCGUCAGAGACUCCCCAUGUUCUCACAUCCCACAGGUGGUCACGCUGUCCUCAAGGGAGGGGCUGCCCACCCUGGGGUGGUGAUCACCCUCCCUCCAGUCUGGGUGCAGCUGCCUCUGAACCUGCAUUUCCCUCUUCUCUAGAAUCUCACCCCUUAAAACACAAAUCCAUCCUGUAGUUCCCAUCAUAGUGCAGCGGAGAUGAAUCUGACUAGCAUCCAUGAGGGCGCAGGUUCGAUCCCUGGCCUCGAUCAGUGGGUUAAAGGAUCCAGCGUUGCCGUGAGCUGUGGUGUAGGACAUAGACGUGGCUUGGAUGUGGUGAUGCUCUGGCCGUGGUGUAGGCUGGUGGCUACAGUUGCAGUUUGACCCCUAGCCUGGGAACCUCUGUAUGCAGUGGGCGUGGCCCUAAAAAAAAAAAAAA
RNAcentral lists this long non-coding RNA (2713 nucleotides) under Sus scrofa (pig). RNAcentral's name for it is "lncRNA (ENSSSCG00060012204.1)". The record is from RNAcentral. Lineage: Eukaryota; Metazoa; Chordata; Mammalia; Artiodactyla; Suidae.